This 82-nucleotide transfer RNA is filed under the name Candidatus Thiodiazotropha endolucinida. RNAcentral's name for it is "tRNA-Ala". Lineage: Bacteria; Pseudomonadati; Pseudomonadota; Gammaproteobacteria; Chromatiales; Sedimenticolaceae. The record is from RNAcentral.
GCGUGUGUUGGGAGACGAUGGCUAUUCCCAGGCCGCCUGCGACGGCCUGCUUGACCGCCUCGUUGCUGCCGAGGGUCAUGCG